Molecule: long non-coding RNA, 605 nt
Organism: Neogale vison (American mink)
Lineage: Eukaryota; Metazoa; Chordata; Mammalia; Carnivora; Mustelidae
Exons: 3
Source: RefSeq, a predicted model, not a curated record
CUUCGGCAUUCUCUUAUAAGGACGCAGGUGACCGGCCUACGUGAGAGCCCAGCGCCAUCUCAUCUUGGGACCCACAGUGGAGCUGCUUCUGCAGAGCCCUUCCCGCCCCACAGGCCACAUCACAGUUCCAGGGGUUGGGGCCUGAAAUCUGUGGGGGCACAUCCAGGCCGGUACACUGGGAGAGGCUGCCAGCUGCAGAGAUGGGCGCUUGUGGCUCAGAGGUGUCUCCCUGCCUGCCCCCAAGGCGGCCUGGACCAGACCGCCUUGCAUGACCAGAGCGGGACAAGAAGGAAGAGCCUAGCAGCCAGACAGAGCGACGUGUGGCCUGCUCCCUGGCACUGGUGCAGACCCACGUGGGAAGGGUCCGGACUGACCCACAGAGGCCUCCAAGGAGGGGAGCCCGAGUAGGAAAAUACAGACAGAGGAAGCUCAGGCAGAUUUGUUUCAGACAAACGGGUCCAGCGUGGCCCUGCCAAGGACGAUUCUGUGUCUGAACAGUAGUUCCGGUCUCCAGCAAUGGGGUUUGGGGAUUCUUCACAAGGGAGUGACUGUCCUUGCGGGUAACUGCAGACUAAGAAACCGUGGUACAGAGAGGCUCAGCAACC